AUUGAACGCUGGCGGCAUGCCUUACACAUGCAAGUCGAACGGCAGCGCGGGGCAACCUGGCGGCGAGUGGCGAACGGGUGAGUAAUAUAUCGGAACAUACCCUAGAGUGGGGGAUAACGUAGCGAAAGUUACGCUAAUACCGCAUACGCACUAAGGUGGAAAGUGGGGGAUUCGCAAGAACCUCAUGCUCAUGGAGUGGCCGAUAUCUGAUUAGCUAGUUGGUGAGGUAAAGGCUCACCAAGGCGACGAUCAGUAGCUGGUUUGAGAGAACGACCAGCCACACUGGAACUGAGACACGGUCCAGACUCCUACGGGAGGCAGCAGUGGGGAAUUUUGGACAAUGGGGGGCAACCCUGAUCCAGCAAUGCCGCGUGAGUGAAGAAGG
This 385-nucleotide ribosomal RNA is filed under the name uncultured bacterium. RNAcentral's name for it is "bacterial SSU rRNA". It matches the Rfam family "Bacterial small subunit ribosomal RNA", at positions 30 to 414 of the family's 1533-position model. The record is from RNAcentral.